RNAcentral lists this non-coding RNA (30 nucleotides) under Rattus norvegicus (Norway rat). Lineage: Eukaryota; Metazoa; Chordata; Mammalia; Rodentia; Muridae. The record is from RNAcentral.
GCCAAGCUGUUGAAGGAAUGUUCAGUUGCA